CGGCGCACGGGUGAGUAACACGUAUCCAACCUGCCGUCUACUCUUGGCCAGCCUUCUGAAAGGAAGAUUAAUCCAGGAUGGCAUCAUGAGUUCACAUGUCCGCGUGAUUAAAGGUAUUGUUCCGGUAGACGAUGGGGAUGCGUUCCAUUAGAUAGUAGGCGGGGUAACGGCCCACCUAGUCAACGAUGGAUAGGGGUUCUGAGAGGAAGGUCCCCCACAUUGGAACUGAGACACGGUCCAAACUCCUACGGGAGGCAGCAGUGAGGAAUAUUGGUCAAUGGGCGAUGGCCUGAACCAGCCAAGUAGCGUGAAGGAUGACUGCCCUAUGGGUUGUAAACUUCUUUUAUAAAGGAAUAAAGUCGGGUAUGCAUACCCGUUUGCAUGUACUUUAUGAAUAAGGAUCGGCUAACUCCGUGCCAGCAGCCGCGGUAAUACGGAGGAUCCGAGCGUUAUCCGGAUUUAUUGGGUUUAAAGGGAGCGUAGAUGGAUGUUUAAGUCAGUUGUGAAAGUUUGCGGCUCAACCGUAAAAUUGCAGUUGAUACUGGAUGUCUUGAGUGCAGUUGAGGCAGGCGGAAUUCGUGGUGUAGCGGUGAAAUGCUUAGAUAUCACG
Molecule: ribosomal RNA, 610 nt
Filed under: uncultured Bacteroidales bacterium
Lineage: Bacteria; Pseudomonadati; Bacteroidota; Bacteroidia; Bacteroidales
Description: bacterial SSU rRNA
Rfam family: Bacterial small subunit ribosomal RNA
Source: RNAcentral